AUUGAACGCUGGCGGCAGGCCUAACACAUGCAAGUCGAGCGGAUGAAGGGAGCUUGCUCCUGGAUUCAGCGGCGGACGGGUGAGUAAUGCCUAGGAAUCUGCCUGGCAGUGGGGGAUAACGUCCGGAAACGGGCGCUAAUACCGCAUACGUCCUGAGGGAGAAAGUGGGGGAUCUUCGGACCUCACGCUAUCAGAUGAGCCUAGGUCGGAUUAGCUAGUUGGUGGGGUAAGGGCCUACCAAGGCGACGAUCCGUAACUGGUCUGAGAGGAUGAUCAGUCACACUGGAACUGAGACACGGUCCAGACUCCUACGGGAGGCAGCAGUGGGGAAUAUUGGGCAAUGGGCGAAAGCCUGACCCAGCCAUGCCGCGUGUGUGAAGAAGGUCUUCGGAUUGUAAAGCACUUUUAGUUGGGAGGAAGAGCAGUAAGUUAAUACCUUGCUGUUUUGACGUUACCAACAGAAUAAGCACCGGCUAACUACGUG
This 484-nucleotide ribosomal RNA is filed under the name uncultured bacterium. Its description in RNAcentral is "partial 16S ribosomal RNA". It matches the Rfam family "Bacterial small subunit ribosomal RNA", at positions 30 to 507 of the family's 1533-position model. The record is from RNAcentral.